CAAUAUGAAGGCCAGGCUGAAGACUUUGCCGGAUUAGCUGAGAGGUGGUGCAUGGCCGUCGUCAGUUCGUACUGUGAAGCAUCCUGUUAAGUCAGGCAACGAGCGAGACCCACGCCCACAGUUGCCAGCGUACUCUCCGGAGUGACGGGUACACUGUGGGACCGCCGCUGCUAAAGCGGAGGAAGGAAUGGGCAACGGUAGGUCAGUAUGCCCCGAAUAUCCCGGGCUACACGCGAGCUACAAUGGUUGGUACAAUGGGUAUCUACCCCGAAAGGGGACGGGAAUCUCCUAAAACCAAUCUUAGUUCGGAUUGAGGGCUGCAACUCGCCCUCAUGAAGCUGGAAUCCGUAGUAAUCGCGUUUCAACAGAACGCGGUGAAUACGCCCCUGCUCCUU
This 395-nucleotide ribosomal RNA is filed under the name uncultured Methanosaeta sp. RNAcentral's name for it is "bacterial SSU rRNA". It matches the Rfam family "Archaeal small subunit ribosomal RNA", at positions 943 to 1338 of the family's 1478-position model. Lineage: Archaea; Methanobacteriati; Methanobacteriota; Methanomicrobia; Methanotrichales; Methanotrichaceae. The record is from RNAcentral.